GAAACUAUUGAGGUGCAAGGAAAUUGCAGUGUCGUCAUACAGAGGACAUUACCUCCUAAAUUACAAGAUCCAGGGAGCUUUAUCAUUCAAGUGGUUGAAAGAAAAAAGAAAAAUAGAAAAUGUGUAAAAAUAAAGAAGAAAAUAAAAAGAAAGAAAAAGAGAAAGUUGAGGGGGGAGAGUGAGAAAAAGAGGAAGAGAGGAAAGAAGAAAAUAUCAUAUGAAAAGCCCCUUCCUCAUCAAAAGAAAAAUCAUAGGAAGGAAAAGAAGUNUAAGUGNUUUAUGGAGAUCUUC
Molecule: long non-coding RNA, 291 nt
Filed under: Vigna radiata
Lineage: Eukaryota; Viridiplantae; Streptophyta; Magnoliopsida; Fabales; Fabaceae
Description: long non-coding RNA (VRAD_LNC017331)
Source: RNAcentral